RNAcentral lists this transfer RNA (92 nucleotides) under Actinomycetota bacterium. RNAcentral's name for it is "tRNA-Sec". It matches the Rfam family "Selenocysteine transfer RNA". Lineage: Bacteria; Bacillati; Actinomycetota. The record is from RNAcentral.
GGAAUGCGUGGGCCUGGUGGCCCGGCCGGUCUUCAAAACCGGUUUGCGGCCUUGAGUAAGGCCGUGGCGGUUCGAUUCCCCCGCAUUCCGCA